GGAGUGGUUCGGUUCAGGGAGAAGAUCUCCACUUGGCCAUGGUUGAAGUUGCCUCCUCCAGCAGCAACCUGAACUCCAGUGGAAAAAGGCUUAUCUAGGCACCUGGCCGUGGCUAAUGGACAUACAAAGAGAAGCUGGGACUGGAUGCUUCAGCACUCUGUUGGUGGCGGACGGUGCAUUAUGUCGAGUAGAGGUUGAGAUUACAUCACUGCUAUGAGAAACACAUUUAACGGUGUAAUUGAACGAAUUCAGAACAGACAGGAGCAGCCGAGUUCUUCCGAGAGUCUUGUAGAAAGGUAAGUACUUCAAGUUAUCUGUAAAGGACUCCAAGUGAUGUUCACAAGGUUGACGUUUGCGUCGGUUUUGUAACAUUAUUUAUGUUGUGUCUCUUUAAGCUAACCAUAAUAAACCAUUGACGGAGUAAUUUAAGUAAGUCAUGUUUAAGUGAUGUUAAUAAAAUACUCCGUGUCGUUGUCUACGUGAAUUUGAACAUUUUAUUGCGGAGACAAGUUGGGAUUCUUGUAACAUUAAUGCAUCCAUGGUUGAAGUGCGCGCUAUAGUGUUGGCUAACAUUACCCUAUUUAGCAAGCUAACUUUGCAAAAAUGCCAUGUUUGGAAACGACGUUGGAUAGAAAGAUUUCAGCCAUUUAAGGUUUUAUAAAAUGGAGGACUUGACUCACGCCGUUUCAGCAGCUUGGUUUUAAAUGUAUAUUGAUGGCAGUGAAAUAACAGUUUGACAGUAGGCCUACAUUUACUACAGUCUCUUAAAGAGGUUUCUAAAACGGUUACCCAGUAUUUUAUGUCUAGGUUAUCCACUCCGUUUUGAUUACAAUUUAUUCUUUUAGGAGACUUUGGCUAAUUAGACUUUUGGCUUUGCUUCACAGUCUGCACAUUUUCUGUCACUUUUUCAGGUUGCGGAUUUUCAGGGAAAAUGAUGCCCCCAGUAGAGGGCCAAGGAGGAGGGGGCAAACAAGACUUGCCACUUUCAGAGUUGGUCUCCUCCUCCAUCCUGAUAUGGAAACAUUCCACCCACAAAAAGCGGAAGCUUUGAGAAAAAUAAAGGUGCCAGUGUCCUUGUCAGCAGAGGAGUUCCAUGCUGUCCUCAGAAAUGCGUUUCCGAGAGUGGGCAGCACGGAUUUUGAGUUGGCAAGGGUAGAUUGUCAUAAAAAAAUUACAAGGCUUCAAGUUUCUCCACUGUCACCAUCUGUGCUGAAAGCCAGCAGAGAGCUUAAUCGAUCAGCUUUAUAUAUAUACUCCCAAAGGAGAGUCUGGCAGAGCAGGUCGGAGAACAGCAAGAUGGGUGUAAUGAUGCAGUAGAAGUCUUGGCCUCUUGCCAAAGCCUGGACCAAGAUGAUG
This is a long non-coding RNA of Epinephelus fuscoguttatus (brown-marbled grouper), 1356 nucleotides long. RefSeq lists it as uncharacterized. NCBI's taxonomy places the organism in Eukaryota, Metazoa, Chordata, Actinopteri, Perciformes, Serranidae. The record is from RefSeq and is a predicted model, not a curated record. The transcript has 5 exons.